RNAcentral lists this ribosomal RNA (255 nucleotides) under uncultured bacterium. Its description in RNAcentral is "partial 16S ribosomal RNA". It matches the Rfam family "Bacterial small subunit ribosomal RNA", at positions 524 to 777 of the family's 1533-position model. The record is from RNAcentral.
UACGAAGGGGGCUAGCGUUGCUCGGAAUCACUGGGCGUAAAGCGCACGUAGGCGGAUUGCUAAGUCAGGGGUGAAAUCCUGGAGCUCAACUCCAGAACUGCCUUUGAUACUGGCGACCUUGAGUCCGGGAGAGGUGAGUGGAACUGCGAGUGUAGAGGUGAAAUUCGUAGAUAUUCGCAAGAACACCAGUGGCGAAGGCGGCUCACUGGCCCGGUACGUGACGCUGAGGUGCGAAAGCGUGGGGAGCAAACAGGG